AAAUCAAAAUCUGAUUAGGAGAAAGAGGCAUGGCAGGGUGUGGCUAAAGAGACAGGAAGGAGUCUCAUCAAUAAAAGGCUCUCCUGUGUCUCUUCCCCACAAGACCUAAACUACUGGUGGAAGUAAAUAGAGUAUAGAAGAGAUUCUAGCACAGAAGAGUGGACAUGGACAAACUCUUACAAGCUUUAAGAAGAUUUCCCAUCUGGUCAACGUAUCCUGAGAAACCAAUGUACCUGAAACUAUCUUGAGAAACCAAUGAACCUGAAACGUGUAUGCAUCUUCUGCCUCAACAGUGUCAAUUCACUGCAGAAAGAGCCUCAUGGAAAAGGUUUAUUGUUCUUCUUUUGCAUAGUGGUUUCUCAGAAAAAUGACAUCAGGUCCAACUGGCAGCUAUGAAAGCAGAUUCCCAAUAUCAAGGAAAUGGAGCCCCAGCUGAGAGCUUUUCUACAGAUGAAUCCUAGAAUGCUGAAGUUCCAAGUGGACGUGACCUUGGAUGUUGACACGACCCAUAACUUCUUUAUUAUUUCUGAUGACCUCUGGAGCAUCCAAUGUAAGCAUAUCAAAUAGAAUCAGCAAGAGCUUGCUGGGAGAUUCGACUUCACAGUUUGUGUCUUGGGCUCUCCUCCUUUUACCUCUGGUGACCAUGAUUGGGAGGUGGGUAUGGGAACAGGUGAAGAAUGGGAGCUGGCAAUUUGCAAAAAAUCUCUUGAUCAACAAGGAAAGAUUACACUUCAGAGUGUCUAUCCUGGACUCUGAGUUUGAGGGCAGGAGGCUACUUCUUUGCCAGCACAAGGCCUAUCUCCCGUGUGGACCCCACGUUACAGCAAAUGGGGAUUUUCUUGUAUACGAACAUGGAAAAAAAAUUAUUUUCCUAAACUGAAGAUGGAUCCCAAAUCCUUACACCCAUGUGUUUCUGCUGAGGAGCCACUGUAUCCAGUUUUUUUGUUCCUUCAACUCUCCGAGAUCAGCAUGUCCUGAGUAUCUGUCCUGUGAUGAACCUGGGCACUGCCAAUUUUCCAGUCCAUCCGGGGA
RNAcentral lists this long non-coding RNA (1032 nucleotides) under Homo sapiens (human). Its description in RNAcentral is "non-protein coding lnc-GBE1-7:1". Lineage: Eukaryota; Metazoa; Chordata; Mammalia; Primates; Hominidae. The record is from RNAcentral.